AGAGUUUGAUCCUGGCUCAGAUUGAACGCUGGCGGUAUGCUUAACACAUGCAAGUCGAACGGAAACGAUGGUAGCUUGCUACCAGGCGUCGAGUGGCGGACGGGUGAGUAACGCGUAGGAAUCUGCCUGAUAGUGGGGGAUAGCCCAGAGAAAUCUGGAUUAAUACCGCAUAAUCUCUAUGGAGUAAAGGAGCCCUCUUCUUGAAAGGUUUCGCUAUCAGAUGAGCCUGCGUAAGAUUAGCUUGUUGGUGAGGUAAAAGCUCACCAAGGCGACGAUCUUUAGCUGGUCUGAGAGGAUGAUCAGCCACACUGGAACUGAGACACGGUCCAGACUCCUACGGGAGGCAGCAGUGGGGAAUAUUGGACAAUGGGCGCAAGCCUGAUCCAGCAAUACCGCGUGUGUGAAGAAGGCCUGAGGGUUGUAAAGCACUUUCAAUUGA
Molecule: ribosomal RNA, 439 nt
Filed under: uncultured bacterium
Lineage: Bacteria
Description: bacterial SSU rRNA
Rfam family: Bacterial small subunit ribosomal RNA
Source: RNAcentral